RNAcentral lists this ribosomal RNA (441 nucleotides) under uncultured bacterium. Its description in RNAcentral is "partial 16S ribosomal RNA". It matches the Rfam family "Bacterial small subunit ribosomal RNA", at positions 338 to 795 of the family's 1533-position model. The record is from RNAcentral.
CCUACGGGAGGCAGCAGUGGGGAAUUUUGCACAAUGGGGGAAACCCUGAUGCAGCAACGCCGCGUGAGUGAAUAAGUAUUUCGGUAUGUAAAGCUCUAUCAGCAGGGGAGCAAAAGGACGAUACCUGACUAAGAGGCCCCGGCUAACUACGUGCCAGCAGCCGCGGUAAUGCGUGUGGGGCAAGCGUUAUGCGGAUUUACUGGGGGUAAAGGGAGCGUAGACUGGUUUGCAAGUCUGGAGUGAAAGCCAGUGGCUCAACCGCGGCACUGCUUUGGAAACUGUCGAGCUAGAGUACUGGAGAGGAAGGCGGAAUGCGUAGUGUAGCGGUGAAAUGCGUAGAUAUCAGGAGGAACACCAGUGGCGAAGGCGGCCUGCUGGACAGAAACUGACGCUGAGGCACGAAAGCGUGGGGAGCGAACAGGAUUAGAUACCCGAGUAGUC